Molecule: ribosomal RNA, 451 nt
Filed under: Uroplatus ebenaui
Lineage: Eukaryota; Metazoa; Chordata; Lepidosauria; Squamata; Gekkonidae
Description: partial small subunit ribosomal RNA
Rfam family: Bacterial small subunit ribosomal RNA
Source: RNAcentral
ACACCUACCUAGAGGAGCCUGUUCUAUAAUCGAUAACCCACGCUAAACCUCUCCCACACUUGUACCCUCAGCCUAUAUACCUCCGUCGCCAGCCCGCCUGACAACAGACACCAAGCGAGUACAACAGCCUGACCCCUAACACGACAGGUCAAGGUGUAGCUAAUGUGUGGGCUGUAAUGGGCUACAUUUUUUAUACUAAAACAAACCCGAGUGCUAUGAAAACCGCACAAAAAGGUGGAUUUAGUAGUAAGCAAGGACUAGCACGCCAGUCUGAAACCUGCCCUGAGAUGCGUACACACCGCCCGUCACCCUCCUCAACAACACAAUAAACCAUAAUUAAUUAUACACGAGACACUAGAUGAGGCAAGUCGUAACAUGGUAAGCGUACUGGAAGGUGCGCUUGGAUAUUCCUGAUGGUAGCUUAAUCUAAAGCACUGAGCUUACAACUCAA